GUGAGGAAUAUUGGACAAUGGGCGAAAGCCUGAUCCAGCCAUGCCGCGUGAACGAUGAAGGCCUUCGGGUUGUAAAGUUCUUUAGCCGAUGAUUAUAAUGACUGUAGUCGGAAAAUAAGCCCCGGCUAACUUCGUGCCAGCAGCCGCGGUAAUACGAAGGGGGCGAGCGUUAUUCGGAAUCACUGGGCGUAAAGCGUGCGUAGGCGGUUUUGUAAGUUAGGAGUGAAAGCCCAGGGCUCAACCUUGGAAUUGCUCUUAAAACUGCAAGGCUCGAAUCUCGGAGAGGAUAGCGGAAUUUCCAGUGUAGCAGUGAAAGGCGUAGAUAUUGGAAGGAACACCAGUGGCGUAAGCGGCUAUCUGGACGAGUAUUGACGCUGAGGCACGAAAGCGUGGGGAUCAAACAGGAUUAGAAACCCCGGUAGUCC
Molecule: ribosomal RNA, 425 nt
Filed under: uncultured bacterium
Lineage: Bacteria
Description: partial 16S ribosomal RNA
Rfam family: Bacterial small subunit ribosomal RNA
Source: RNAcentral